CCUACGGGAGGCUGCAGUGGGGAAUCUUGGACAAUGGGCGCAAGCCUGAUCCAGCCAUGCCGCGUGAGUGAAGAAGGCCGUAGGGUUGUAAAACUCUUUCGCCGGAGAAGAUAAUGACGGUAUCCGGAGAAGAAGCCCCGGCUAACUUCGUGCCAGCAGCCGCGGUAAUACGAAGGGGGCUAGCGUUGUUCGGAAUUACUGGGCGUAAAGCGUACGUAGGCGGAUUUGUAAGUAGGGGGUGAAAUCCCCAGGCUCAACCUGGGAACUGCCUUCUAGACUGCAAGUCUUGAGAUCAGGAGAGGCGAGUGGAAUUCCGAGUGUAGAGGUGAAAUUCGUAGAUAUUCGGAGGAACACCAGUGGCGAAGGCGACUCGCUGGACUGAUACUGACGCUGAGGUACGAAAGCGUGGGGAGCAAACAGGAUUAGAUACCCUUGUAGUC
RNAcentral lists this ribosomal RNA (440 nucleotides) under uncultured bacterium. Its description in RNAcentral is "bacterial SSU rRNA". It matches the Rfam family "Bacterial small subunit ribosomal RNA", at positions 338 to 795 of the family's 1533-position model. The record is from RNAcentral.